This 1282-nucleotide ribosomal RNA is filed under the name metagenome. RNAcentral's name for it is "bacterial LSU rRNA". It matches the Rfam family "Bacterial large subunit ribosomal RNA", at positions 1604 to 2865 of the family's 2925-position model. The record is from RNAcentral.
CCUGCCUAGAAAAGCCCAGCAGUGAGUUGACAUGUGUGCCCGUACCCCAAACCGACACAGGUGGAUAGGUAGAGAAUACCAAGGCGAUUGAGUGAACUAUGGUUAAGGAACUCGGCAAAAUGCAUGCGUAACUUCGGGAUAAGCAUGACCCCGUUAGGGUGAAGAGACUUGCUCUCCGAGCUCGAAGGGGUGGCACAGAAUUGGGGGAAGCGACUGUUUACUAAAAACACAGCAGCGUGCGAAGCCGUAAGGCGCUGUAUACGCUGUGACGCCUGCCCGGUGCUGGAAGGUCACGGGGAAGGGUUAGCCCUUGAGGCGAAGCUCUGAACCUAAGCCCCAGUAAACGGCGGCCGUAACUAUAACGGUCCUAAGGUAGCGAAAUUCCUUGUCGGGUAAGUUCCGACCUGCACGAAUGGCGUAACGACUUCCCUACUGUCUCAACCAUAGACUCAGCGAAAUUGAAGUACGAGUAAAGAUGCUCGUUAGCUGUAGAAGGACGGAAAGACCCCGUGGACCUUUACUAUAGCUUGGUAUUGAGUUUUGUUAUGCAUUGUGUAGGAUGUGGGAGGCUAGGAAGCAUGCACGCCAGUGUGUGUGGAGCCAUCCUUGAAAUACCACCCUGUGUAUGGCGAGACUCUAACCUAGGACCGUUAUCCGGUCCGGGAACAGUGCCAGGUGGGUAGUUUGACUGGGGCGGUCGCCUCCUAAAAUGUAACGGAGGCGCCCAAAGGUUCCCUCAGGCUGGUUGGCAAUCAGCCGUCGAGUGCAAUGGCAUAAGGGAGCUUGACUGCGAGACGUACAUGUCGAGCAGGUGCGAAAGCAGGGCAUAGUGAUCCGGCGGUAGCGUGUGGAAGCGCCGUCGCUCAACGGAUAAAAGGUACCCCGGGGAUAACAGGCUAAUCUUCCCCAAGAGUCCAUAUCGACGGGAAGGUUUGGCACCUCGAUGUCGGCUCAUCGCAUCCUGGGGCUGAAGCAGGUCCCAAGGGUUGGGCUGUUCGCCCAUUAAAGCGGUACGCGAGCUGGGUUUAGAACGUCGCGAGACAGUUCGGUCCCUAUCCUCUACAGCCGGAAGUGACUUGAGAAAAGCUAUCCCUAGUACGAGAGGACCGGGAUGGACGCAGCUCUCGUGUGCCAGUUGUUCUGCCAAGAGCAUGGCUGGUUAGCGACCUGCGGAAGAGAUAACCGCUGAAAGCAUCUAAGUGGGAAGCUCCUUUCAAGAUGAGGUCACUCACAGGGUUAACCUGGUAAGGCCCGUGGUAGACGACCACGUUGAUAGGCCGGA